ACGGGAGGCAGCAGUGGGGAAUAUUGCACAAUGGAGGAAACUCUGAUGCAGCAACGCCGCGUGAAGGAUGAGGGCCUUUGGGUCGUAAACUUCUGUCCUUGAGGAAGAUAAUGACGGUACUCUUGGAGGAAGCCCCGGCUAACUACGUGCCAGCAGCCGCGGUAAUACGUAGGGGGCAAGCGUUAUCCGGAAUUAUUGGGCGUAAAGGGUGCGUAGGCGGUUUUUUAAGCGCGGGGUGAAAGGCAAUGGCUUAACCAUUGUUAGCCCUGCGAACUGGGAGACUUGAGUGCUGGAGAGGAAAGCGGAAUUCCUAGUGUAGCGGUGAAAUGCGUAGAUAUUAGGAGGAACACCAGUGGCGAAGGCGGCUUUCUGGACAGUAACUGACGCUGAGGCACGAAAGUGUGGGGAGCAAACAGGAUUAGAUACCCUGGUA
This 433-nucleotide ribosomal RNA is filed under the name uncultured Anaerovorax sp. RNAcentral describes it as "partial 16S ribosomal RNA". It matches the Rfam family "Bacterial small subunit ribosomal RNA", at positions 341 to 792 of the family's 1533-position model. Lineage: Bacteria; Bacillati; Bacillota; Clostridia; Peptostreptococcales; Anaerovoracaceae. The record is from RNAcentral.